RNAcentral lists this long non-coding RNA (647 nucleotides) under Homo sapiens (human). Its description in RNAcentral is "HSALNT0306887". Lineage: Eukaryota; Metazoa; Chordata; Mammalia; Primates; Hominidae. The record is from RNAcentral.
GGACCUUGUAAGGCUGACUUUGGAAUAUGACUGCAUUCUGAUGGAGAGAUUUCCAGUUUAAGAUGCCAUACUGAACAUAUACACUGAUCUCUUUGCCUUUGGAAACUCCAUUAAGCUGAUUGUAAAGGAGGAAAAGGAUUCUCACAUGACAAUGAAGAGACUGAAGAAGUAUCAUCAAUGGAUAAAGCAGAAUAGAAAUAGCAGCCGCCUGGACCAUACCUAGAAAGGAAUCAUUUUGCCUGGCAGAAGCAUGAAACAGUUCCAUAUUUGAGAUGGCAUUUACCACUGAGGGAAAAAAAAAGUAUCAUGUGAAAGAAGCAAGAAUUGGACUGACCACACACUUGUCAUUGCCAAUCAGAUGCUGCAAAACAAUGGAUCUGUUUUUCAGAGUUCUGAAAUAAAAUGCUAAUCAAACUAGAAUCUGCUUAGCUAAGACACUGCCAAAUAUGAAGACCAAAUAAAAGAUUUUCAGAUGUGUCAUAAUUCAGAGUUUAUACUCCAAGCAUUCUUUUGUAGAAAGGAACUCAAGGGUGUAUUUCAGCAAAAUAAAGAAGUAAAGUACUAGAGCCAUCACUCAGAGAGCAAAUGACCAGACCAGAUGCUAACAACAAACAUUGUGUGACUUCCUAUCUCCAGCCACUUCUGAA